This 411-nucleotide transfer-messenger RNA is filed under the name Candidatus Omnitrophota bacterium. RNAcentral's name for it is "Candidatus Omnitrophica bacterium transfer-messenger RNA". It matches the Rfam family "transfer-messenger RNA". From Rfam's summary of the family: Bacterial tmRNA, also known as 10Sa RNA or SsrA, is named for its dual tRNA and mRNA-like properties. Its role is to liberate the mRNA from a stalled ribosome. The record is from RNAcentral. Lineage: Bacteria; Pseudomonadati; Candidatus Omnitrophota.
AAGGGGUUCGACUUAUGUGGAUAUUAUAAGGGCAGCAUGUCGAGGUGGUCGGGAGGCCUCGUUAAACACCUGGCAAAAUAAUAAAUGCUGAAACUAAAGUUCCAGUAAGCGUAGAUGCACUUCUUGAGAAAAUUGGAUCGGGCAUUGCUCAUCCUUCUUUCGCGGGAUUUGUACCUGCACCAGCGUUAAUUUAAUAAAAUAAAUUAACCCGUUUUUUGGCCUUUUGUCUGGGGGGUUAAGAAACGUCACUUACAGACUCGCUUUACCUGGUUUGUUUUUGACGGGUAAGGUCAAACAUUCAAAAGCUGCCUGUUUAAAUACCGUGUCUAUUGGGGAUUUAAACAGAAAGAUAAAUAAUAGGCUAAACAUGUAGAUACCCUUAUUUGUUGCUUAAGGACGCGGGUUCGAUCA